ACACCGCUGACGAGUCCCACAAUAGGACGAAAUGGCCGUCCAGUGC
Molecule: non-coding RNA, 46 nt
Organism: Schistosoma haematobium
Lineage: Eukaryota; Metazoa; Platyhelminthes; Trematoda; Strigeidida; Schistosomatidae
Source: Rfam